This 279-nucleotide unclassified non-coding RNA is filed under the name plant metagenome. RNAcentral's name for it is "partial contains small subunit ribosomal RNA, internal transcribed spacer 1, and 5.8S ribosomal RNA". The record is from RNAcentral.
UCUCCGUAGGUGAACCUGCGGAGGGAUCAUUAUAGUAUUACAGAGCUGCGAGAACUGUCGCUAACCCGAACGAAACCGUACGCCCGAGUGCCCGCCCCCAUGUCCACCCCACCCCCAUGUCCACCACCCCGCGCGGCCGCCCGCGGGUGGUUCGGAGGGGCGCUUACGUUUUUACCCACACUUUGUCUUCAGUGCAGAAUGUAUUAAUUGUUUUUACAAUCGCGCUAUCAAUACAACUUUCAACAACGAAUCCCUUGGCUCUCGCAACGACACAGAACG